Molecule: transfer RNA, 62 nt
Filed under: Branchinecta paludosa
Lineage: Eukaryota; Metazoa; Arthropoda; Branchiopoda; Anostraca; Branchinectidae
Description: tRNA-Tyr
Source: RNAcentral
GAUAAAGUGACCGAUUAAAGUGUAGGGCUGUAAACCUUAAUAAGGAGUUUUUCCCUUUAUCA